UCUCUUCAUGAUGGAUUCAAUAAUGAAUAUCACUGAUCCCGAGAUCAUGGACACACAGUACCAGCAGAUGGCUCCCCAAAUGGGACCACGUCAGACCCUCUUCUACUGUCCCAAGUGCCUCCGCGGCUUCACCCUGAAGAGCAAUCGUAAUCGUCAUUUCAAGUACGAAUGUGGCCACGAGCCACGAUUCAAGUGCCCUUACUGCGACUUGCGCAGCAAACAAACUUCACAAAUUUAUUCUCACGUCAGGAGAAAACAUCCUGGUGAGAGGGUGUACUUCGUCGAUAUCAAGGGAUAGGUCUAGGGACAUUAAUCGUAUCUUCAUUGUUAAUUAACACCUACGACUCUACCGGGACUCACCACGAUGAUAAUAAAAGCGAUGAUUGUGUAACGGUUUCUCGAUUAUUAUCAACCCGGUCACGUGGAACAAUUGGAUCAAGCUCUCUGUCUCGAUCCUGUAUUCAACGAACCCCAGAAACGCAUGUUGGGUCGUCGCAGUCUCAUUCAUCAGAAACGUUUCUUCUGUCCAAAAUGUCUCAUGGGAUUUACGAUGAUGAAAAACCUCAAACGUCAUUAUUAUUACGAGUGCGGAUGUGACCCGCGUUACAAGUGCCCCUACUGCGACUCCAAGAGCAAACAGACCUCCCAGAUCUACGCACACAUCAGGAGGAAACAUCCUAAUGAGAGAGUCUACUUCAUCGAUCUCAUACUUUAAUUGGAGGGACUGAGGGAGUCUCUUAAUUAAUGAAAUUAUAAGAUUCAUCAGAUGUUGAUGUAGAGCGUACACUGAACAAUUGCUUUUGCCAAAUGUUUUAAUUAGGGGUUAAUUAGGGUAAUUAAAUUGUCUAGAAGAUGAUGAUGUUGGUCCUAACAUUCACUGAAGUCUUUCAGAAAUUAUGGAGAUGACAAAAUUUAUGGAAAUUUUUUUUUAGAAAAUUAUAAAUAAAAAAUUGUUGACGGAUUUCGUUGGGGCCAACAUUGUCAUCCUCGAGAGCAGUGAGAUCAUCACUGAUGACACCUGAUUGACCUCUUCAGGAUGAAUCGAUCAAGAAAUAUAAUUUUGAAAAAAUAAAUUGGCAAAAACAGUUUUUUUCGUAUGAGAAAUUUGUCAUUUAUUCCUUCGGUUAUUUUCGAUUAAUUAGCUUUGAUGGGUCUAAUUGAUUGAUUAUAUCUUGUUUCAUUGUUAACAUUCAUAGAUAAUUAAGCCCACAUAAUAACAAAGUUUACUGUGAAGUAUUAAAGGGCUUUCUAAUUAAAUUUUAAGGUUCCAAAAGUGGAAAUUUCUUUAUGAAGAUUUUCUCGUUCCUCGAUUAUUAUCGAUUAAUCAACUUUCAUUUAGAUAAUUAUUACUAUUUCGUUUCGUUGUUAACAUUAAAACAGAUUUAUGCUCCUUAUCAGGAGGACGUACCCUAAUGAGAGAAGUUAUUUCGCUGAUUACACGUUAAUUGCGUUGGCUCAGAGUAAUUUUAAUUAUUUAACGAAAUGUGACGAUUAAUAAAAUGUUGUUUCCAUAGA
Long non-coding RNA from Diachasmimorpha longicaudata, 1515 nucleotides. RefSeq lists it as uncharacterized. NCBI's taxonomy places the organism in Eukaryota, Metazoa, Arthropoda, Insecta, Hymenoptera, Braconidae. The transcript has 2 exons. The record is from RefSeq and is a predicted model, not a curated record.